GUCGAGUGCGCAGCUUCCUGUAGCAAUACAGGGAGUGGGCGCACGGCGUCACGGGUGAGUAACACGUGGGCAAUCUGCCCUCGGAUGGGGGAUAACUCGUCGAAAGGCGAGCUAAUACCGCAUGACAUUCCGAAGACUCCGGUCUUUGGAUUCAAAGGCCGCAAGGCCGUCUGAGGAGGAGCCCGCGCCCGAUUAGCUAGUUGGUGAGGUAACGGCUCACCAAGGCUUUGAUCGGUAGCCGGUCUGAGAGGAUGGCCGGCCACACUGGAACUGAGACACGGUCCAGACUCCUACGGGAGGCAGCAGUGGGGAAUAUUGCGCAAUGGGCGAAAGCCUGACGCAGCGACGCCGCGUGGGGGAUGAAGCUUCUCGGAGUGUAAACCCCUUUCGACCCGGACGAAUGACCCGCAAGGGUCUGACGGUACGGGUAUAAGAAGCCCCGGCUAACUACGUGCCAGCAGCCGCGGUAAUACGUAGGGGGCCAGCGUUGCUCGGAAUUACUGGGCGUAAAGGGUUCGUAGGUGGUGCGGUAAGUUGGAAGUGAAAUCUCUGGGCUUAACCCAGAGGCUGCUUUCAAAACUGUCGCGCUCGAGUGCGAGAGAGGUCAGUGGAAUUGCAGGUGUAGCGGUGAAAUGCGUAGAUAUCUGCAGGAACACCCGUGGCGAAGGCGGCUGACUGGAUCGCAACUGACACUGAGGAACGAAAGCUAGGGGAGCAAACAGGAUUAGAUACCCUGGUAGUCCUAGCCCUAAACCAUCGGAACUUGGGGUGGCCCGCG
Molecule: ribosomal RNA, 778 nt
Filed under: uncultured bacterium gp2
Lineage: Bacteria
Description: bacterial SSU rRNA
Rfam family: Bacterial small subunit ribosomal RNA
Source: RNAcentral